This 254-nucleotide ribosomal RNA is filed under the name uncultured bacterium. Its description in RNAcentral is "partial 16S ribosomal RNA". It matches the Rfam family "Bacterial small subunit ribosomal RNA", at positions 524 to 776 of the family's 1533-position model. The record is from RNAcentral.
UACGUAGGGGGCGAGCGUUGUCCGGAUUUAUUGGGCGUAAAGAGCUCGUAGGCGGUUGGGUAAGUCGGGUGUGAAAACUCAGGGCUCAACUCUGAGACGCCACUCGAUACUGCCCUGACUCGAGUCCGGUAGGGGAGCGUGGAAUUCCCGGUGUAGCGGUGAAAUGCGUAGAGAUCGGGAGGAACAUCUGUGGCGAAGGCGGCCAUCUGGACCAGCACUGACACUGAGGCACGAAAGCGUGGGGAGCAAACAGG